This is a long non-coding RNA of Cavia porcellus (domestic guinea pig), 1100 nucleotides long. RefSeq lists it as uncharacterized. The transcript is spliced from 3 exons. NCBI's taxonomy places the organism in Eukaryota, Metazoa, Chordata, Mammalia, Rodentia, Caviidae. The record is from RefSeq and is a predicted model, not a curated record.
UAUACCACUGAGCUACACCUCCAGCCUCCAAAAUCUUGCUAUUUUUUUUUUUUUUUUUUUUUUUUAUCGGUACCGGGGAUCGAACUCACAACCGCCUGCUUGGAAGGCAGGCGCUUAUGCCGCUGAGCUAAAUCCCCAUCCCCUAAAAUCUCGCUUUUAAAUUAUUAUGGUUUGAUUUUUUUAUUCUUUGUAAUUUAGGCUGGCUUGAAAUCACUAUGGAGCCCAGGCUGGCCUCAAACUCAUGGUGAUCCUCCUGCCUCGGCCUCCCAAGUGCUGGGACUACAGGUUUCUUGUUGGAGAUUGCCCUGAUACAAUCAGAAGCUACAACUCAGGAGAAAACAUCCACACAGGGAAAACAUCCUCCUGAGGCGGAGCCACUUGCAAUGGAUCUAGACCGGCAAACAGAAAUUUCACAUGAUCUGAGUUGUGCAGACCUAAUAACAGCUCUGUAAGCCAACCCCCACGAGCACCUUCAUAGGGCCAGGUCUCACUGUGUAGUCCAGGCUGACAUGAACUCACAGUCUUCCUGCCUCAGCCUCCCAAGUGGUGGGAGUACAGGAGCUUCCGCCCACGCUCCACUACGCAGACCUAAUUAAGGCACAUUGGAGCCAGCAAGCUGUGUGCCUGUGGCAGGACAGUGCCAGCGCGUCCUAGGGCCAGAAUCCACACCACUGUCUCCUCCCCAGCGGCACACAGUGUCUUCACUACCCCAGGACAGGGAUGCGACCAUGUCAGAGAAGGUGCCUUGUGCACGUGGAACCAGCAGCCUGAGCACCCAGCCGCCAGUGUGAGGUUUCCGAGUGGAUCCUUGGAUUCUCAAAGAGCUGAACCUUUUCCCUAGCAGUCAAUUGCUUUGUCGAAUAGAAAACAUCAUGUAAACCGUAAGAAUUUGGUAAAUCAAAAACUAGCUGGGUGAGGUGGCGCACACCUGUAAUCAUGGCAUUCGAGAGGCUGAGGCAGGAGGAUGGCUGUGAGUCCAAGGCCAACCUGCACGGUGAGACUCUGUCUCAAAAAACCAAUAAAUAAAUAAAUGAAUGAAUAAAUAAUAUAAAGUACAUGAUUAGUGUACAUAGUAAUAACAGGAUUAUUGGUUUUUCUUU